RNAcentral lists this ribosomal RNA (404 nucleotides) under Actinomycetes bacterium. Its description in RNAcentral is "Actinobacteria bacterium partial 16S ribosomal RNA". It matches the Rfam family "Bacterial small subunit ribosomal RNA", at positions 355 to 776 of the family's 1533-position model. The record is from RNAcentral. Lineage: Bacteria; Bacillati; Actinomycetota; Actinomycetes.
GGGGGAAUAUUGGACAAUGGGCGCAAGCCUGAUCCAGCCAUGCCGCGUGAGGGAUGAAGGCCCUAGGGUUGUAAAGCUCUUUCACCGGUGAAGAUAAUGACGGUAACCGGAGAAGAAGCUCCGGCUAACUUCGUGCCAGCAGCCGCGGUAAUACGAAGGGGGCUAGCGUUGUUCGGAUUUACUGGGCGUAAAGCGCACGUAGGCGGACGAUUAAGUCAGGGGUGAAAUCCCGGGGCUCAACCCCGGAACUGGCUUUGAUACUGGUAGUCUUGAGUUCGGGGAAGGUGAGUGGAAUUCCGAGUGUAGAGGUGAAAUUCGUAGAUAUUCGGAGGGACACCAGUGGCGAAAGCGGCUCACUGGCUCGAUACUGGCGCUGAGGGGCGAGAGCGUGGGGGGCAAACAGG